RNAcentral lists this unclassified non-coding RNA (378 nucleotides) under uncultured Chlamydiales bacterium. RNAcentral's name for it is "contains 16S-23S intergenic spacer region". Lineage: Bacteria; Pseudomonadati; Chlamydiota; Chlamydiia; Chlamydiales. The record is from RNAcentral.
UCCUGGUUAACCCAGGCAGUCUCGUUAGAGUUCCCGCCUUGACGCGCUGGCAACUAACGAUAAGGGUUGCGCUCGUUGCUGGACUUAACCAAACACCUCACGGCACGAGCUGACGACAGCCAUGCAGCACCUAUAUAGAGGCCCUUGCGGGAGAUUACAUCUCUGUAAUCGCCCUCUACAUUUCGAGCCCAGGUAAGGUUCUUCGCGUUGCAUCGAAUUAAACCACAUGCUCCACUGCUUGUGCGGGCCCCCGUCAAUUCUUUUGAGUUUCACCCUUGCGAGCGUACUCCCCAGGCGGCAUACUUAAUGCGUUAGCUCCGGAACAGAGGGGGUUGAGCCCUCCUACUCCUAGUAUGCAUCGUUUAAGGCAAGGACUAC